This 1312-nucleotide long non-coding RNA is filed under the name Piliocolobus tephrosceles (Ugandan red Colobus). RNAcentral describes it as "lncRNA (ENSPTEG00000026361.1)". Lineage: Eukaryota; Metazoa; Chordata; Mammalia; Primates; Cercopithecidae. The record is from RNAcentral.
GAUGGGGGUAGGUGGGGGCAGAGGAGAAGGCUCUAUGUCUGUGGGUGGCACCAGAUGCCUCGGAAGGUGCGGGGCCUCCCUCCACGGCCGCCCAGGACCCAGGGCGCUGACUAUCUCCCCUGGAGUAUGGCAGGGCCCAGGGGGCUGAGGCAGGGCCCCCUUUGGCAAAUUCUUCACUCAUAGAGGUUUCGUGCCUUUCUCUGUAAAAUGAGGAUGCGAACAUGGUUUGUCUUUCAGGAUAGCUGUGAUUAGAACAUGUGUGUAAAGCGCCCGUCAUGGCAGCAUCCUUCUGGCAACAAGUCUUCACUUGCAAAACAAGUCCUUUUAGCUCCACACUAUGAAGAUUUUGCCUAGAGAAGAAGUGGUUGUUCUGCUUACCUGGUAACAUGUGUAACCGGAUCCACACUAUCAUGGGCCCUCACAGCUUCCCCUGGAUAUAUGGCAGGUCCUCCCGUCUUGGCUCUGCGACACCAUCUCCCAUUGCUCUGUUUCACUUCUCUCGUCCCACACUCCCUGCUGAUACGGUGUGGUUGUGUCCCCGUCUCCAUCUCAUCUUGAAUUGUAGCUCCCAUAAUCCUCCUGCAUUGUGGGAGGAGCCCGGUGGGAGGUAAUUGAGUCACGGGGGCGGGUCUUUCCCGUGCUGUUCCUGUAAUAGUGAAUACAUCUCAUGGGUUCUGAUGGUUUUAUAAAGGGCAGUUCCCCUGCGCACACACUCUCGCUGCCACCAUGUAAGAGGUGCCUUUGCUUCUCCUUCGCCUUCUGCCAUGAUUGUGAGGCCUCCCCAGCCAUGUGGGACUGUGAGUCCAUUCAACCUCUUUCCUUUAUAAAUUACCCAGUCUCAGGUGUAUCCUUUUAGCAGCAUGAGAACAGACUACACCUGCCCUGCCCAGUCUCCUUUGCUGGCUCUCCCACAGCUGGCGUCACCCCAGAAGCGGCAGCAGGAAACUUCCGCAAGGCUUAUUGGAACUUGUGCUCAGAGGGUCCCAGCGUCCUUACGAGGCACAGUGAGACCUGAUGCUCUGCCCAGGUACGUCUGCUGUGAGGGCGUCGGACUGUGGAGUUUAUAGGGGGUCUGAGGACUCUGGUUCAGGGCUGGGGCUAGUUCCUGGAUAUCUCACAACAUGGUUGAUUUCUUAGUGUUCGGAGCAGCCACCUACCCAGCUUUCGCAGUGCCUGGGAAUCAAAUAGGCCCAGCUUGGGUUCAAGCCUGUGGGUAAACUUGCAGCUGCCAGGGCCACAGAGGGGUCAAGGACCCUGUGCUUCUCUGGCUGAAGAAAACUAGGGGGCCUGGGGGCCCUUCCCUCCUCUUCAG